This 496-nucleotide ribosomal RNA is filed under the name uncultured bacterium. RNAcentral describes it as "partial 16S ribosomal RNA". It matches the Rfam family "Bacterial small subunit ribosomal RNA", at positions 28 to 506 of the family's 1533-position model. The record is from RNAcentral.
GACGAACGCUGGCGGCGUGCCUAAUACAUGCAAGUUGAGCGAUGAAGCUUGGUGCUUGCACCAAUUUGAAGAGCAGCGAACGGGUGAGUAACGCGUGGGGAAUCUGCCUUUGAGCGGGGGACAACAUUUGGAAACGAAUGCUAAUACCGCAUAACAACUUUAAACAUAAGUUUUAAGUUUGAAAGAUGCAAUUGCAUCACUCAAAGAUGAUCCCGCGUUGUAUUAGCUAGUUGGUGAGGUAAAGGCUCACCAAGGCGAUGAUACAUAGCCGACCUGAGAGGGUGAUCGGCCACAUUGGGACUGAGACACGGCCCAAACUCCUACGGGAGGCAGCAGUAGGGAAUCUUCGGCAAUGGACGAAAGUCUGACCGAGCAACGCCGCGUGAGUGAAGAAGGUUUUCGGAUCGUAAAACUCUGUUGGUAGAGAAGAACGUUAGUGAGAGUGGAAAGCUCAUCAAGUGACGGUAACUACCCAGAAAGGGACGGCUAACUACGU